UUUGAUCCUGGCUCAGAUUGAACGCUGGCGGCAGGCCUAACACAUGCUAGUCGAACGGUAGCACAGAGAGCUUGCUCUCGGGUGACGAGUGGCGGACGGGUGAGUAAUGUCUGGGAAACUGCCUGAUGGAGGGGGAUAACUACUGGAAACGGUAGCUAAUACCGCAUAACGUCGCAAGACCAAAGAGGGGGACCUUCGGGCCUCUUGCCAUCAGAUGUGCCCAGAUGGGAUUAGCUAGUAGGUGGGGUAACGGCUCACCUAGGCGACGAUCCCUAGCUGGUCUGAGAGGAUGACCAGCCACACUGGAACUGAGACACGGUCCAGACUCCUACGGGAGGCAGCAGUGGGGAAUAUUGCACAAUGGGCGCAAGCCUGAUGCAGCCAUGCCGCGUGUAUGAAGAAGGCCUUCGGGUUGUAAAGUACUUUCAGCGGGGAGGAAGGUGUUGUGGUUAAUAACCACAGCAAUUGACGUUACCCGCAGAAGAAGCACCGGCUAACUCCGUGCCAGCAGCCGCGGUAAUACGGAGGGUGCAAGCGUUAAUCGGAAUUACUGGGCGUAAAGCGCACGCAGGCGGUCUGUCAAGUCGGAUGUGAAAUCCCCGGGCUCAACCUGGGAACUGCAUUCGAAACUGGCAGGAUGGAGUCUUGUAGAGGGGGGUAGAAUUCCAGGUGUAGCGGUGAAAUGCGUAGAGAUCUGGAGGAAUACCGGUGGCGAAGGCGGCCCCCUGGACAAAGACUGACGCUCAGGUGCGAAAGCGUGGGGAGCAAACAGUAUUAGAUACCCUGGUAGUCCACGCCGUAAACGAUGUCGAUUUGGAGGUUGUGCCCUUGAGGCGUGGCUUCCGGAGCUAACGCGUUAAAUCGACCGCCUGGGGAGUACGGCCGCAAGGUUAAAACUCAAAUGAAUUGACGGGGGCCCGCACAAGCGGUGGAGCAUGUGGUUUAAUUCGAUGCAACGCGAAGAACCUUACCUGGUCUUGACAUCCACAGAACUUUCCAGAGAUGGAUUGGUGCCUUCGGGAACUGUGAGACAGGUGCUGCAUGGCUGUCGUCAGCUCGUGUUGUGAAAUGUUGGGUUAAGUCCCGCAACGAGCGCAACCCUUAUCCUUUGUUGCCAGCGGUCCGGCCGGGAACUCAAAGGAGACUGCCAGUGAUAAACUGGAGGAAGGUGGGGAUGACGUCAAGUCAUCAUGGCCCUUACGACCAGGGCUACACACGUGCUACAAUGGCGCAUACAAAGAGAAGCGACCUCGCGAGAGCAAGCGGACCUCAUAAAGUGCGUCGUAGUCCGGAUUGGAGUCUGCAACUCGACUCCAUGAAGUCGGAAUCGCUAGUAAUCGUAGAUCAGAAUGCUACGGUGACUACGUUCCCGGGCCUUGUACACACCGCCCGUCACACCAUGGGAGUGGGUUGCAAAAGAAGUAGGUAGCUUAACCUUCGGGAGGGCGCUUACCACUUUGUGAUUCAUGACUGGGGGUGAAGUCGUAACAAGGU
This 1494-nucleotide ribosomal RNA is filed under the name Enterobacter cloacae. RNAcentral describes it as "bacterial SSU rRNA". It matches the Rfam family "Bacterial small subunit ribosomal RNA". Lineage: Bacteria; Pseudomonadati; Pseudomonadota; Gammaproteobacteria; Enterobacterales; Enterobacteriaceae. The record is from RNAcentral.